RNAcentral lists this ribosomal RNA (468 nucleotides) under uncultured bacterium. RNAcentral's name for it is "partial 16S ribosomal RNA". It matches the Rfam family "Bacterial small subunit ribosomal RNA", at positions 28 to 507 of the family's 1533-position model. The record is from RNAcentral.
GACGAACGCUGGCGGCGUGCUUAAUACAUGCAAGUCGAACGGAAAGGCCCUGCUCUUGUGGGGUGCUCGAGUGGCGAACGGGUGAGUAACACGCGAGUAACCUGCCCUUGACUUUGGGAUAACUUUUGGAAACUGGGGCUAAUACCGGAUAGGAGCUCCUGCUGCAUGGUGGGGGUUGGAAAGUUUCGGCGGUUGGGGAUGGACUCGCGGGUUAUCAGCUUGUUGGUGGGGUAGUGGCUUUCCAAGGCUUUGAAGGGUAGCCGGCCUGAGAGGGUGACCGGCGACAAUGGGACUGCGAUACGGCCCAGUCUCCUACGGGAGGCAGAAGUGGGGAAUAUUGCACAGUGAGCGGAAGCCUGAUGCAGCAACGCCGCGUGCGGGAUGACGGCCUUCGAGUUGUAAACCGCUUUCGCCUGUGACGAAGCGUGAGUGACGGUAAUGGGUAAAGAAGCACCGGCUAACUACGUG